This 7179-nucleotide long non-coding RNA is filed under the name Homo sapiens (human). RNAcentral describes it as "long independently transcribed non-coding RNA 2700, transcript variant 30 (LINC02700)". Lineage: Eukaryota; Metazoa; Chordata; Mammalia; Primates; Hominidae. The record is from RNAcentral.
GUGAGACUGUGAAUUCUUCAAAAGCAGGUACUGUGUUUAAUGAAGUGUGCCCAGGACUUUGCUCAGUGACUGGAUGACACAGUAGGAGUAACAAGAAAGUUCACAUGGGUGAACCGUGGUAGGUGGACAUCGUCUCUCUCACCUCUUCCCAAAUCAAGGAUGAAGUACAUCUUCAUAAAUCCUCAUGUGAAUUAUUUUGCUACCUCUAGAAGCAUUUUCUAAAACAAGGUGCAGCAAUCAGUUGAGUGAAUUUGUCACCAGAGCUUAUGUUUUCUGAAAGAACCCUAUCCUCAGGCAGUUGUUCCUAAGAGAUUCCACAAAUAUGUCAGCGCUGGAAAUGAUCCUUUGGCUUUGAACUAUGUGAAGACUGCAGAAGGACUGGUUGGUCAGGCUGCAUUUGUAUCCUGGGUCCACAAGACAUCGUUUCCUUAAAACCAAUCCCCCUGAUUUUGCUAAGUGUCUGCAAGCCUAAUAUUUCAUGGAUGUUUGACAAGGACCCCGUCUUUAGCUGAACUAAGGAGAAAGUCCUGCAACACACACAUGGAGCUCAGCAAACGGAGGAUGUAGACCCCACUGGAAAUCGGACUGUUCAACUCACCUGGCAGCCACUCACAGAGCCCGUGGAACUCUGGCCCAAGGCUCUCUGACUCCUUCUCGGCUUAGCGGCUAAAGACUGACACUGCCCGAUCGCCUCGGAAGCCCCGUAGACCAUCACGGACGCCGAGCUUUAGGUAACUCUCACAGUGGAGGAUGAAGAAACUGAGGUCCAGAGAAGUUAAACGACCUUCCUAAGAUUACACAGCUUAGUAAGUGGCAGAACCACAGCUGGAAGCCAGGUCCUUCCUCACGCAAGUCCUGGCUCAUUCAUUCCUCUUCCAAAGACUUGCUGAGCACCUUCUAGGUGCCAGAUGCGGUGCUGGCUCCUGGGGACAUGGGAGUGAACAGGCCAGGCGUGGCCCUGAACCAUCAAAUAGACAACCACAGAAAUAACAACAACAAAGACAAAACCGGGCCCUUCCACACAGUAGCUGGAACACAAAGGAAGAUCAGCCAAGCCUCAACAUAAUCUCAUAAAAAUUCUUCAAAUAUCCCAUUGUUAUGGAUUCAUACAUCAGGAAAGCAGAUGCCAAGAACCUGAACACCUUCUACUGGUAACAUAUAUUUUGGCGAGCCAGCCUGGAGACAAGACCACUAUGGGCAACUUCCUGUCUAUUCUACCUGGUGUCACUGUGGACAACUUCCUAUCUAUUCCACCCGAUUCACCGCUUGGCUACAUCCUCCACCAUUGGGAUGAAUUUGACCCUAACAAUCUAAAGAAAAGGCAUAUGAUUUUUUACUGCAAUAUUGUUUGACACAAUUAUGAGCUGCCCAAUCCGGAACAAUGGGCAGUCAAUGGUAGCCUUAAUUAUGAUACCAUCCUGUAUCUAGACCUAUUUUACAAGAGGCAGGGCAAAUGGUCAGAAGUCCCACAUAUACAGGCCUACAUGACCCUAUACGAAGACCUAAGAAUCUAGGAAACUCCCAGAACCCAUCCCCCGAAGGAAAGUUCUGGGGCAGAACUAGAUAUUAUAGAUGAACCCCCUUUUACAAGGGAUACCUGUCUCUCAGAGUGAGCAGUGACUGUCCCCAUAUAACCCCUCACCAAGUGCUCCUGAGGCUGAAACCCAGGGGCAAACAUGGGGAACCCUACUAAGUCCCCCUCACACUUGGAGGGGAACACUGUAUUCAACUCUCUAUCCAGCCCUGCUACUCUCAGAGAAAUAGCAGGGGCUGAGGGGCCAAUCCUAGUGUGGGUCCCCUUCUCUAUGAUUGAUAUACAACAAUGUAAGGAAAAGCUAGGAAGCUAUUCUGAGGAUUCCGGGAAGUUUGCAGAUGGGUUCCAAACUUUGACCUUAGCCUUUGAUCUCUCAUGGAGAGACGUUCAAUUCACUCUAGCAACCUGUUGCACCUCCUCGGAAAAGGAACGAAUCUUUGAGGCUGCCCUCCGAGAAGUGGACGAAUUAUUCACCCAAAACCGUAAAGGCAGUCACCCAGGCCCAGCCACAGUUCCCACUACGCAUCCUAAUUGAGACCAAGACACCCCCGCAGGAAGGAACAACUGGGCUAAAUUUCUUGAGGCUCUUGGAGGAAUGAGAAAGGGAAUAACUAAGGCAGUAAAUUAUGAUAAAGUAAGGCAGAUUACACAAGGCAGGGAGGAAAACCCAGCUGUGUUUUACGGCAGGCUGCGGGAAGCCUUUAAAAAAUAUAUACUAAUUUGGUCCCUUCCUCUCCUGAAGGCAAGUUAUUAAUGGCACAACGUUUCAUUAGCCAAUCCACACCAGACAUUAGACGUAAGCUCCAAAAGCUACACAUGGGGCCACAAACUAACCAAAAUCAGCUUCUUGGUACUGCCUUCAUGGUGUAUAACAAUCGUGACCUGGAGGAAGGAGAAGGGAAACAGAGUAAAGAAAAACGGCAAGCCAAAAUUAUGUUAGCCAUCACUGGUGAUGCCCUAAAUGCACAAAGAUUGUCCAAGGGAAACUCAAAGGGCCAUAAGGAUAAUGCCAGCAAAGGCUCUUGCUUCAAAUGCAAUAAAAGUGCGAUUGGGCACAGGAAUCCACUAAGCCCCCGCCAGUCCCCUGCCGUCAAUGUAAAAGCACCAGUUGUGGCUCCUGGCCCUGGAGAAUUGACUGUCCCUGCUCCCACCAAGGGGCUCAGUCAGUCAAAACUCUGGCAGUGCACAAGGAGGAAUCAGAUGAAGACUGAAGGGGCCUGGGGCCUUCCUCACUGCCCCGUCUAGGAACAUUGUAAUUACUACUGAGGAACCCUGGGUAACUCUGGACAUCAUGGCCACCCAAAUUCAGUUUUUAUGUGAUACCAAGGUGAAUUAUUCUGUACAACUGCUUAUGCAGGAAAACUUUCCUCCCGGUCCAUGAGUGAUAUUGGAUGGAAGGGAAGCCACAAACAAGAUUCUUACUCCUCCUUUGGUUUGUCAAUUUGAGAAACAAAUCUUCCAACAGGAAUUUUUAGUAGUACCAAGCUGCCCAAUUCCCCUGUGGGAAAGAGAUAUUAUGGUGAAAAUAGUGACACUACUGCAAUUUAAGCAAUAUUAGCAGGUGAAACUGCUAAUAGUAAGAAAUAAGGCAAUGUCCCAGACCAUGUCAAUAAACAGGUUAACCCACUGGCAUGGUAUACUGGAAACCCAGGGAAGGCUAAAACAGCAGUGCCAGUCAAAAUACAGCUUAAAGACCCCAGCCAUUUUCCCAAUGGAAAACAAUACCCAGUUGAACAGGAAGCAAGCAAAGGUCUAGCUCCCAUAGUUGAGAUAUUACUUACCCAUGGACUCUUAAAACCCUGCAAUUCUCCCUGCAAUACCCCCAUCUUACCUGUUCUCAAGCCUGGGGGGAAUACCAGCUAGUACAGAACCUCAGAAUAAUGAAUGAGGCUGUUAUCCCCGUCCACCCAUUGGUGGCAGAUCCAUAUGCCCUCCUGGCUCAGGUGCCAGGGCAUGCAAAAUGGUUCUCAGUCCUAGACCUUUCUUCUCCAUUCCUCUGGCCCCGAGCCCCCCAGUACCUUUUUGCUUUCGAAUGGGAAAAUCCUAAUACCAGAUAAAAACAAUACACUUGGACAGUGCUUCCUCAGGGCUUUCGGGAUAGCCCCCACUUCUUUGCCUGAGCAUUAGAGCGGGAUCUGAGGGAUUUCAAGUUAGAAAAUGGAGGUAUUCUUCAGUAUGGGGAUGACCUUGUGUGUAGCCCAACCUAGGAGGUUUCUGACCAAAAUACUAUAAAAACUUUGAAUUUCCUGGCAGACAGAGGAUACAAAGUGUCCAAAAAGAAGGCUCAGAUUACCCUCCAAUGGGUCCACUAUUUAGGAUAUGUCUUAACACCCGGAACCCGGCAAAUAUCCCCAGAAGGAGUGCAAGCUAUAUGUGGUUUGGCCGCGUGCACCACCCCCAGCCCCCACCCUGACCCACCUCCAAGCAGCAGCUUUGUUCCUUUUUGGGGAUGGCCGGGCUUUGGAGAAUAUGAGUACCAAAUUUUGGGCUCAUAGCAAAGCCCCUAUAUGAAGCAACAAGGGGGCCUGAAAAUGAGCUAAUGGAAUGGACCCCGGAAAUGAGGAAAGCCUUUGCCAAGUUAAAACAGGUUCUCACCCAGGCUCCUGCUCUUGGUAUCCCAGACCUAAUUAAGGCCUUCUCCUUGUAUGUAGCAGAGAAGAGGGGCAUAGCUGUGGGAGUGCUAGCCCAGAAAUUAGGAUCAGAACCCAGACCAACCGCCUACUUCUCAAAAAAGUUGGACGGAGUGGCCUCAGGAUGGCCAAGUUGCCUGCGGGCAAUAGCAGCCACUGCUGUUAGUGGAGGAAGCCACUAAAAUCACCCUAGGGCAACCACUGGAAGUUCUAACGCUCCAUCAGGUAAAGUUAGUCUUAGAAAUAAAGGGACACAUCUGGAUGACAGGGGAAAUGUUAACUAAAUACCAGCCCAUGCUCCUAGACAAUCCAGAUAUAACUCUUAAAACCUGCAACACUUUAAAUCCAGCUUCAUUGCUGCCCACAGGCCCAAUAAUUGAUCAUUCCUGUGAGCAGGUCAUUGCACAUACAUAUGUUAGCCAGCCUGAUUUAAAAGAUGAGGCUCUCCCAGAUUCUGAAGCUGACCGGCUCACAGACGGCAGUAGUUCUUUGUCGAAUGGGGAGCACAGAGCUGGAUAUGCAGCAGUAAAUCAUGACACAAUUAUUGAAGCCCAGCCAGUGCCCCCUGGCACAUCAGCACAAAAGGCUAAAAUCAUUGAUCUUACUCAAGCAUUAAUGUUGGGACAAGGGAAAAAACUUAACAUCUAUACAGAUUCUAAAUAUGCAUUCCUUGUGGUUCAUGCUCAUACCGCCAUCAGGAAAGAAAGGGGAUUACUUACUAGCAAGCACUCCCCUAUAGAGCAUGGACCUGAAAUUCUGCAGCUAUUGAAGGCAAUACACCUGCCAAAGGCCAUAGCUAUCAUUCAUUGUAGGGGGCAUCAAAGGGACUUAACCCCUAUAGCACAAGGGAAUGGAAAGGCUGACGGAAGCCAAAGCAAAAGCCCUCAGCGUGCAAUCCCAACAGAUCCUAGCACUGCUUCCUUUCUACAAUUCCCCAGUAGAACCCAAAUACACACCACAGGAAGAACAGCUAAUAAAAAAAGCAAGGGAGACAAAAACAAGGAUCCUGGUGGCAUAUGGAGCCAAAAAUAUAUCUCCCUCAGGCAGCCCAGUGGAGAGUUAUAAAAGCCCUGCAUGACUCUUUCCAUGUGGGGAGGGAUGCGGCUCUGGCCAUGGUAAACAAGUUCUUUACUGGGUUUAACUCAGCUUCAAUGGCUAAGCAGGUCUGUCAAGCCUGCUCACUGUGUGCAUUUAACAAUCCAGGCAUCAAAAUGCCCCCUCUAAUAAAACCAGUCCAAAGGAGGGGAACUUAUCCAGGGGAAGACUGGCAGUUAGACGUCAUCCAUAUGCCAGCUUGCAGAGGAUACAAGCUUUUGUUAAUACUAAUAGAUACUUUUAGGUUGGGUCAAAGGUUACCCCAGAAAAGGCUAAUGAGGUUCUAAGGUCCUCUUAAAAGAAAUAAUUCCCCAGUUUGGGUUACCUCAGGGUCUCCAAAGUGAUAAUGGCUAAUCCUUUAUCUCCCAAAUAACUCAAGGGGUUGCUAAGGCUCUUGGAAUAAAAUACUAUUUACAUUCAGCCUGGAGGCCCCAAUCCUCUGGAAAAGUGGAAAGGGUUAACCAAACUCUAAAAUAAGCACUAGCUAAACUAUGUCAGGAAACAUCAGAAACUUGGGUUAGCUUAUUGCUCACAGCCCUUUUAAGAAUUUGUAAUACCCCUAGCUCAAAAAUUAACAGAAGCCCAUAUAAAAUGUUAUACAGAAGGCCAUUCUUAACUAAUGAUUUAAUUAUUGACCCAGAAAGAGUUGGUGUAAUUAAAUACCUAGUCAACCCAGAACAAUUCCAGCGGGUUUACAAGAGUUUGGAAUUCAAAGGCUCCUCACACUUGGAACUAACCAGCAACCCAAAAUCAGGCCAGGAGAUAGGGUACUUGUUAAAACAUGGAAUGAGGGAUCACCUGCCCAACAAUUACAACCCCAAUAGAAGGGACUUUUUUCAGUAAUACUGGCCACGUCUUCUGUGGUCAAAGUACUAGUAUUAGAUAGCUGGAUACAUCUUUCAAGGAUCAAACCAUCAAUACCAGAAGCUCCAGACCAGGAACCUGAAGUUCCCAUCAGCCAGUACACCUGUGAACCAGUGGAGGACCUGAAGUACCUGUUUAAAAGAUAGCCAAAAGAUAAGUAAAUGCCUACCAACUUUCUUUGGUGUCUUUGUUGCAUAGUUACUGUGGGCUGGAAAAUAGUAGCCAUUUUUAUCUUUGCAGUUUAAUUGCCUUCUUCCAAAUAGAUAAAAAUCACUUCCUUUGUAAUAAUUAAACAGAAUUUAAAAAAUACAUUUCUAUGACAAAUAUUCCUGAUGGCAUAAGUAUCCACCCCAAGGUUCCCAUUAAAUCUUUUAACCUAAAGUAUUUCCUCUCACCUAGAGAUCAUCGAGCUGUGUGACAAGGGUGCCAGCCACUCCAGGUGAAGACACCACCCCAGGCCAUCAAGGAUCUUCCCUACCUUCACUAAACAGAGCAGGGUGAAAGUUGUGUGAUCCCCAAUAGGUAGGGACUACACCCCAAGUCAGCAGGAAGCAGUUACAGAAGAAAGACCAUUGGUCCCUCUGCUUCCCAUAAAGAUUUAUGGGGAUCACAGCUUUCACGGGGGAGAUGAGGCAAGAGAAUAGGGCAUGCAGGCAGGGUACUUGAGGCCAAUCCACGCUGACUUCCUAGAACUGAAUUAAAUGAAAGCUCCUCAGCAAUGACAGGAAUGUGAAUGGCUUUGUAACUUCUUCCUCUCCAUUAAUGCUAUUUCCACUUUGUAACUUCACUUUCAUCCUCUCCAUUUACAUAGAUCACACACCAAGUAACAUCCUCUCCAUUUACAGUAGGGCGCAUUCCGAGUCAAUGACUCUGACUGCACUUCGUUCUCCUCAUUUACAUAGAACAUUCGCCAAGUAACCAAUGGGAAACCUCUAGAGUAUUGAAACUCCAGAAAAUUCCGUAAGUGGGGCUCUUGAGCGUCUACACUCGGGUCGCUCCCACACUGUGGCGUGUACUUUUAUUCUCAAUAAAUUCCCGCUUUUGCUUUCCUCGUUC